RNAcentral lists this ribosomal RNA (465 nucleotides) under uncultured bacterium. RNAcentral's name for it is "partial 16S ribosomal RNA". It matches the Rfam family "Bacterial small subunit ribosomal RNA", at positions 338 to 795 of the family's 1533-position model. The record is from RNAcentral.
CCUACGGGAGGCAGCAGUAGGGAAUCUUCCACAAUGGGCGAAAGCCUGAUGGAGCAACGCCGCGUGGGUGAAGAAGGUCUUCGGAUCGUAAAACCCUGUUGUUAGAGAAGAAAGUGCGUGAGAGUAACUGUUCACGUUUCGACGGUAUCUAACCAGAAAGCCACGGCUAACUACGUGCCAGCAGCCGCGGUAAUACGUAGGUGGCAAGCGUUAUCCGGAUUGAUUGGGCGUAAAGGGAGCGCAGGCGGUCUUUUAAGUCUGAUGUGAAAGCCUUCGGCUUAACCGGGGUAGUGCAUUGGAAACGGUGAGACUUGAGUGCAGAAGAGGAGAGCGGAACGUCAUGUGUAGCGGUGAAAUGCGUAGAUAUAUGGAAGAACACCAGUGGCGAAAGCGGCUCUCUGGUCUGUAACUGACGCUGAGGUUCGAAAGCGUGGGUAGCAAACAGGAUUAGAUACCCCGGUAGUC